GGGCGGAGGGAGGCGGGGGUGGGAAGGGGGAGGCCGGCUUUUCCUCCAACCCGCAGCUCUUCUGGGCCAGGGGAGACCUCCGUGCUGCUUUGGUUCCUUCGUGUUUCUGCAGAAAGGUCGGGUUGGGUCGUGGCGCGGGGAAAGGAGAUGAGGGAGCUGGGGCGAAGGAUGCGGCCCUGAUGGAGGCUCCCACACCGCGCCUGCAUCGGCCUGCAUGGGGAGCCGCCCCUGCCCUGGCUUUUCCUCCAACCCGCAGCUCUUCUGGGCCAGGGGAGACCUCCGUGCUGCUUUGGUUCCUUCGUGUUUCUGCAGAAAGUUUGCACCGCUCCCAUUGUGUUUUUCACACCUGGAACACUUUGUGUUGUCCUCUGAUGGCCCUCAGACUUCCGCUGACAGAACCGGAGCACGGCGGAGCUCAGCUGCCGAUCGAGCGUCCUUCACUGAGUUCUUCCCUCCCAUUCCCUGCCGUUCCAUCUUGGCACGUCGAGCUCAGCUCAGUUCUGGUGUUUACCAGUAAACACGAGUUGGGGUUAAAAAUUUGAAUUAAAGCUAUUUUGUAAUGAAAAAAAAGCCAAAAAUUACUGACUUCAUUUCUGUGUUUGAUUUGCAUGAGCUAAAGGGGGAGAUGCUCCCUUGCACGAUUCACACUUCUGCACACAAAUGAACGAAACGCCCCAACGUCGCCGUCAGAUUUUAACAUUUCAACACUGGGUGAAAGGCUGCGGUGCAUCAUUCGUCACAAUGGCCAACAUCUCCCCACGUCCCCAUAUGUCCCCACGUCCCCCAUCCCUGCGUCCCUUUCCUCACAUCUGCCCCACAUUCCUGUAGUCCUGCCCCCCAAAUCUCCCCCCCUCAUUCACAUUUUCCCAAACCUGCAUUUUUUAUUCUGCCCAAAUCUGCAUUUUUUUGCCCCAAACUCUUUUUCCCGUGGCCCAGUGUCGUAUUCAGGACCCGAAGCCCCAUAGGGUCAGCCCCAAAUUCCCUAUUUCUGAACCCCAAAUGUCACUGUUUCAUCCCACAGAUGUGAUGGAUUCGCUCCCCCCUUUCAGGAGGCACCAAAUUCUCCUCUUUGGGUCCCAACGCCUGAUCCGAAUUGAGCCCAACGGCCGCGAUGGGCAGAUGUGGGGCACUAUGGGGUCUGUGGGGUGGAUGGGGGGCACUAUGGGGUCUGUGGGGCGGAUGGGGGGCACUAUGGGGUCUGUGGGGCAGAUGUAGGGCACUAUGGAGUCUGCGGGGUGGAUGUGGGGCACUAUGGGGUCUGUGGAGCAGAUGUGGGGCACUAUGGGGUCUGCGGGGCGGAUGUGGAGCACUAUGGGGUCUGUGGGGUGGAUGGGGGGCACUAUGGGGUCUGUGGGGUGGAUGUGGGGCACUAUGGGGUCUGUGGGGUGGAUGUGGAGCAGUGCAGGGAAUUAUGGGGCUCUGGGAGUGAGGCUGUGGGGAUCUAUGGGGCCGCAGUGGGGCACCGUGCGGGCACUUGGGGGGCAGAUGUGGGGCACCGUGGGGAUCUGUGGGGCAGUGCAGGGAGCUGUGGGGCCCUAUGGG
RNAcentral lists this long non-coding RNA (1542 nucleotides) under Chrysolophus pictus (golden pheasant). Its description in RNAcentral is "lncRNA (ENSCPIG00010014728.1)". The record is from RNAcentral. Lineage: Eukaryota; Metazoa; Chordata; Aves; Galliformes; Phasianidae.